RNAcentral lists this ribosomal RNA (253 nucleotides) under uncultured bacterium. Its description in RNAcentral is "partial 16S ribosomal RNA". It matches the Rfam family "Bacterial small subunit ribosomal RNA", at positions 524 to 776 of the family's 1533-position model. The record is from RNAcentral.
UACGUAGGGCGCAAGCGUUAUCCGGAAUUAUUGGGCGUAAAGAGCUCGUAGGCGGUUUGUCGCGUCUGCCGUGAAAGUCCGGGGCUCAACUCCGGAUCUGCGGUGGGUACGGGCAGACUAGAGUGAUGUAGGGGAGACUGGAAUUCCUGGUGUAGCGGUGAAAUGCGCAGAUAUCAGGAGGAACACCUGCGGCGAAGGCGGGUAGCUGGGCCGACACUGACGCUGAUGCGCGAAAGCCAGGGGAGCGAACGGG